AGUCGAGCGAAGCACUUAGGAAAGAUUCUUCGGAUGAUUUCCUUUGUGACUGAGCGGCGGACGGGUGAGUAACGCGUGGGUAACCUGCCUCAUACAGGGGGAUAACAGUUAGAAAUGACUGCUAAUACCGCAUAAGACCACGGUACCGCAUGGUACAGUGGUAAAAACUCCGGUGGUAUGAGAUGGACCCGCGUCUGAUUAGGUAGUUGGUGGGGUAACGGCCUACCAAGCCGACGAUCAGUAGCCGACCUGAGAGGGUGACCGGCCACAUUGGGACUGAGACACGGCCCAGACUCCUACGGGAGGCAGCAGUGGGGAAUAUUGCACAAUGGAGGAAACUCUGAUGCAGCGACGCCGCGUGAAGGAUGAAGUAUUUCGGUAUGUAAACUUCUAUCAGCAGGGAAGAAAAUGACGGUACCUGACUAAGAAGCCCCGGCUAACUACGUGCCAGCAGCCGCGGUAAUACGUAGGGGGCAAGCGUUAUCCGGAUUUACUGGGUGUAAAGGGAGCGUAGACGGCACGGCAAGCCAGAUGUGAAAGCCCGGGGCUCAACCCCGGGACUGCAUUUGGAACUGCUGAGCUAGAGUGUCGGAGAGGCAAGUGGAAUUCCUAGUGUAGCGGUGAAAUGCGUAGAUAUUAGGAGGAACACCAGUGGCGAAGGCGGCUUGCUGGACGAUGACUGACGUUGAGGCUCGAA
RNAcentral lists this ribosomal RNA (697 nucleotides) under uncultured bacterium. RNAcentral describes it as "bacterial SSU rRNA". It matches the Rfam family "Bacterial small subunit ribosomal RNA", at positions 60 to 757 of the family's 1533-position model. The record is from RNAcentral.